RNAcentral lists this ribosomal RNA (516 nucleotides) under uncultured bacterium. RNAcentral describes it as "bacterial SSU rRNA". It matches the Rfam family "Bacterial small subunit ribosomal RNA", at positions 1 to 524 of the family's 1533-position model. The record is from RNAcentral.
CACGGAUCCAGAGUUUGAUCAUGGCUCAGGAUGAACGCUGGCGGCGUGCCUAACACAUGCAAGUCAAACGGGGUUAAGGGAAAUUUUCGGAUGGAACUUAACUUAGUGGCGGACGGGUGAGUAACGCGUGGAUAACCUGCCUCACACUGGGGGAUAGCAGCUGGAAACGGCUGGUAAUACCGCAUAAGACCACAGCACCGCAUGGUGCAGGGGUAAAAGAUUUAUCGGUGUGAGAUGGAUCCGCGUCUGAUUAGCCAGUUGGCGGGGUAACGGCCUACCAAAGCGACGAUCAGUAGCCGGCCUGAGAGGGCGACCGGCCACAUUGGGACUGAGACACGGCCCAAACUCCUACGGGAGGCAGCAGUGGGGAAUAUUGCACAAUGGGGGAAACCCUGAUGCAGCGACGCCGCGUGAGUGAAGAAGUAUUUCGGUAUGUAAAGCUCUAUCAGCAGGGAAGAAGAUGACGGUACCUGCACAAGAAGCCCCGGCUAACUACGUGCCAGCAGCCGCGGUAAU